AGGGAUCAUUACACAACAAAAUAUGAAGGCCUGGCUUUCGCGGCCGGCUGAAGUAUUUUUUUCACCCAUGUCUUUUGCGCACUUGUUGUUUCCUGGGCGGGUUCGCCCGCCACCAGGACCAAACCAUAAACCUUUUUUUCUUAUGCAGUUUCCAUCAGCGUCAGUAAAAACAAUGUAAUUAUUACAACUUUCAACAACGGAUCUCUUGGUUCUGGCAUCGAUGAAGAACGCAGCGAAAUGCGAUACGUAGUGUGAAUUGCAGAAUUCAGUGAAUCAUCGAAUCUUUGAACGCACAUUGCGCCCUUUGGUAUUCCAAAGGGCAUGCCUGUUCGAGCGUCAUUUGUACCUUCAAGCUUUGCUUGGUGUUGGGCGUUUUUUUGUCUCCCUCUUUCUGGGAGACUCGCCUUAAAACGAUUGGCAGCCGGCCUACUGGUUUCGGAGCGCAGCACAUUUUUUGCGCUUUGUAUCAGGAGAAAAGGACGGUACUCCAUCAAGACUCUACAUUUUUCACUUUUGACCUCGGAUCAGGUAGGGAUACCCGCUGAACUUAAGCAUAUCAAU
Molecule: ribosomal RNA, 561 nt
Filed under: Bipolaris oryzae
Lineage: Eukaryota; Fungi; Ascomycota; Dothideomycetes; Pleosporales; Pleosporaceae
Description: eukaryotic LSU rRNA
Rfam family: 5.8S ribosomal RNA (bases 186-339)
Source: RNAcentral